AUUGAACGCUGGCGGCAUGCCUUACACAUGCAAGUCGAACGGCAGCACGGGUGCUUGCACCUGGUGGCGAGUGGCGAACGGGUGAGUAAUACAUCGGAACAUGUCCUGUAGUGGGGGAUAGCCCGGCGAAAGCCGGAUUAAUACCGCAUACGAUCUACGGAUGAAAGCGGGGGACCUUCGGGCCUCGCGCUAUAGGGUUGGCCGAUAGCUGAUUAGCUAGUUGGUGGGGUAAAGGCCUGCCAAGGCGACGAUCAGUAGCUGGUCUGAGAGGACGACCAGCCACACUGGGACUGAGACACGGCCCAGACUCCUACGGGAGGCAGCAGUGGGGAAUUUUGGACAAUGGGCGAAAGCCUGAUCCAGCAAUGCCGCGUGUGUGAAGAAGGCCUUCGGGUUGUAAAGCACUUUUGUCCGGAAAGAAAUCCUUGACUCUAAUACAGUCGGGGGAUGACGGUACCGGAAGAAUAAGCACCGGCUAACUACGUG
This 486-nucleotide ribosomal RNA is filed under the name uncultured bacterium. Its description in RNAcentral is "partial 16S ribosomal RNA". It matches the Rfam family "Bacterial small subunit ribosomal RNA", at positions 30 to 507 of the family's 1533-position model. The record is from RNAcentral.